AGGAGUAGUAGUACUGUAAUUCCUAUUGGUAUAUGAUAUUUUUUAAAGCUUUAAAAAAAAAUCAUUAAUUUUUUUCCAGAUGAUGAUUUCAGCAAUCAUGAUGAUCAUGUAGCUGAAGAUGAUGUCCAGCCACAUGUUGAAGACCUAUUGGCUGAGGGCAAUUUCAAAAAAGACUCCAACUCAUGAUAAGGUUAUAGCUGAUUAUAUCCAGGAGCAACCACACAAUUGAUAUGCAAUGUCAUGAAUUCCUACUUGACGUAUUUUCGAGCGGUAUAGAAAU
Molecule: long non-coding RNA, 280 nt
Organism: Anneissia japonica
Lineage: Eukaryota; Metazoa; Echinodermata; Crinoidea; Comatulida; Comatulidae
Exons: 2
Source: RefSeq, a predicted model, not a curated record